Mesocricetus auratus (golden hamster) is the source of this 335-nucleotide long non-coding RNA. RefSeq lists it as uncharacterized. Lineage: Eukaryota; Metazoa; Chordata; Mammalia; Rodentia; Cricetidae. The transcript has 2 exons. The record is from RefSeq and is a predicted model, not a curated record.
UGAUCUGGAACUGGACUUGUAGACCAGGCUGGUCUUGAAUUCACAGAGAUCUACCUACCCCAGUCCCCCAAGCACUGGUCAGAUGCCACCAUGCGAGGUCAAUGAUGGUAGAGGCAGUGCCUUGGAAUACGCUUUUGAAUACAUUGGUUUUCCAUGAACAUGUUUACAGCACAGAAAAGCAGAGGGAGAGAUGAGAGCAAAGGCCAACGAGACCUGAGAAUGUCUGAAAAUGCCACAUGAAAUUCAUUACUUUGAAAAAUGACAUAAAAGAAGAAAACAGAAAUCGAUAACUUUUAUGAUAAUUUAAAAAGUCAAUUAAAAUUCUUACAAACAAA